RNAcentral lists this ribosomal RNA (823 nucleotides) under uncultured bacterium. RNAcentral describes it as "SSU rRNA". It matches the Rfam family "Bacterial small subunit ribosomal RNA", at positions 66 to 899 of the family's 1533-position model. The record is from RNAcentral.
ACGAUGAAGCUGGAGCUUGCUCCGGUGGAUUAGUGGCGAACGGGUGAGUAACACGUGAGCAAUCUGCCCUUGACUCUGGGAUAACUGCGGGAAACUGUAGCUAAUACCGGAUACGAGGCUCGAAGGCAUCUUCGGGUCUGGAAAGAAUUUCGGUCAAGGAUGAGCUCGCGGCCUAUCAGCUAGUUGGUGAGGUAAUGGCUCACCAAGGCGACGACGGGUAGCCGGCCUGAGAGGGUGACCGGCCACACUGGGACUGAGACACGGCCCAGACUCCUACGGGAGGCAGCAGUGGGGAAUAUUGCACAAUGGGCGAAAGCCUGAUGCAGCAACGCCGCGUGAGGGAUGAAGGCCUUCGGGUUGUAAACCUCUUUUAGCAGGGAAGAAGCGAAAGUGACGGUACCUGCAGAAAAAGCACCGGCUAACUACGUGCCAGCAGCCGCGGUAAUACGUAGGGUGCAAGCGUUGUCCGGAAUUAUUGGGCGUAAAGAGCUCGUAGGCGGUUUGUCGCGUCUGCUGUGAAAACCUGAGGCUCAACCUCAGACCUGCAGUGGGUACGGGCAAGCUAGAGUGCGGUAGGGGAGAUGGGAAUUCCUGGUGUAGCGGUGGAAUGCGCAGAUAUCAGGAGGAACACCGAUGGCGAAGGCACAUCUCUGGGCCGUAACUGACGCUGAGGAGCGAAAGCGUGGGGAGCGAACAGGAUUAGAUACCCUGGUAGUCCACGCCGUANACGGUGGGUGCUAGUUGUGGGUCACAUUCCACGUGAUCCGUGACGAAGUUAACACAUUAAGCACCCCGCCUGGGGAGUACGGUCGCAAGACUAAAA